GCUGGCCACAACUAAAUCUUCGGAGAGAGGGCGAGGCACCACCAAUCAGUUGUACCGCACUAAGAACUCGGCACAAACCAAACAACCAACCACUUGUACCUGACAACCAAUCAAGCACAAUACACAGACAAUACAAUUCAUCAGUGCAGCUAUUUAACUGGCCAGAUACAUAACAUGCCCAGGCAACACAACCAGUUGAGGACACACAACACAACUGCUUACUACCACACACACACAAAGCCACUACCGCCUCUGUCCACACACACCAUCCAAACCCACAAUCCAUACAUCAACACUUACUGUACUACGAUACUAUUACGCCCAGCCAAUACAGUUACACAAACCACCAACACUACAACACAUGGAGCCCUCAUCAAGGCUACACAGCCUGCCAUUAUUAUAACCCAGAGAUAGAAACAAUUCUCAUAUGACCAACACCCUUCCUUAUGCAGCUCAGAUACAUAAGCAUCCCACAGUCUUCUCCCUUGUAUACGAGUGCACCACACAACCCGUACCCCCAAGUAGCCAGCCAUUACAGGACAGCAUUGGGGAGUGGGGGGGUUAUACUCUCCUACCAGUGGGAGAGGCUUCAUUCACUAUUUACCUCUCGCAGAUUAAUCCGUAAUCCCUUUUUAAUUGAUUUGCAGUGGCGAUGCGAUUGUGGCGAAUGUCUUCUUGUGUUUUUUUUUUCUUUUUUUUCUCUCUCUCUCUCCCAGUGCUUUGUGUGCGGGGGUUGUUGUUUGUGCGAGAGUUUGGUUGUCAUGGCACGUGACCGUAUGCCCCAGUGCCUGCUGGGAAGCCUCCGUGAGCUUGGCUGUUUUUUUUGGAGAGGAUGAUUCUCAGCUGUCUGUUUCGGUGACUGCGAAGAGUACUCAGAGGAUGCGGUGGCAGCGUCUGAACUAAAUGAAUGUACUUUUUCAAGCAGGGGAUGAUUGAGUGAAUGCCUCUGGACUGAAAUGAGAGUUGUCUUGCUUUUUUUUUACGCAGUAGAAGUGCAAGCAAUCUUGAUUAUUCUGAUAUUAGGCAGACGGACUGAAGGUUUAUUUGUCAGUUUAAUGAUUACUCCUGGAGAAAGGGGAGUUUAAUUAGUUUGAUGAGAAAGACGUGACUGUGUCACUAAAGCGCUACACGAACGCUACGAUGCUGCUCACGCGUGACUGAUUGGU
Molecule: long non-coding RNA, 1166 nt
Organism: Clupea harengus (Atlantic herring)
Lineage: Eukaryota; Metazoa; Chordata; Actinopteri; Clupeiformes; Clupeidae
Source: Ensembl